AACGAACGCUGGCGGCAUGCCUAACACAUGCAAGUCGAACGAGACCUUCGGGUCUAUUGGCGCACGGGUGCGUAACGCGUGGGAACCUGCCCUUAGGUUCGGAAUAACUCCCCGAAAGGGGUGCUAAUACCGGAUAAUGUCUUCGGACCAAAGAUUUAUCGCCUUUGGAUGUGCCCGCGUUGGAUUAGCUAGUUGGUAGGGUAAAAGCCUACCAAGGCGACGAUCCAUAGCUGGUCUGAGAGGAUGAUCAGCCACACUGGGACUGAGACACGGCUCAGACUCCUACGGGAGGCAGCAGUGGGGAAUAUUGGAGAAUGGGCGAAAGCCUGAUCCAGCAAUGCCGGGUGAGUGAUGAAGGCCUUAGGGUUGUAAAGCUCUUUUACCCGAGAUGAUAAUGACGGUACCGGGAGAAUAAGCUCCGGCUAACUACGUG
This 433-nucleotide ribosomal RNA is filed under the name uncultured bacterium. RNAcentral describes it as "partial 16S ribosomal RNA". It matches the Rfam family "Bacterial small subunit ribosomal RNA", at positions 29 to 507 of the family's 1533-position model. The record is from RNAcentral.